This 71-nucleotide transfer RNA is filed under the name Lawsonibacter asaccharolyticus. RNAcentral's name for it is "tRNA-Arg". Lineage: Bacteria; Bacillati; Bacillota; Clostridia; Eubacteriales; Oscillospiraceae. The record is from RNAcentral.
GUCCAUAUAGCUCAGCUGGAUAGAGCACACGCCUCCUAAGCGGUAGAUGGUUCGAGUCUAAAUUUUGCAUA